AUUGAACGCUGGCGGCAGGCCUAACACAUGCAAGUCGAGCGGAUGAAGGGAGCUUGCUCCUGGAUUCAGCGGCGGACGGGUGAGUAAUGCCUAGGGAUCUGCCUGGUAGUGGGGGAUAACGUCCGGAAACGGGCGCUAAUACCGCAUACGUCCUGAGGGAGAAAGUGGGGGAUCUUCGGACCUCACGCUAUCAGAUGAGCCUAGGUCGGAUUAGCUAGUUGGUGGGGUAAAGGCCUACCAAGGCGACGAUCCGUAACUGGUCUGAGAGGAUGAUCAGUCACACUGGAACUGAGGCACGGUCCAGACUCCUACGGGAGGCAGCAGUGGGGAAUAUUGGACAAUGGGCGAAAGCCUGAUCCAGCCAUGCCGCGUGUGUGAAGAAGGUCUUCGGAUUGUAAAGCACUUUAAGUUGGGAGGAAGGGCAGUAAGUUAAUACCUUGCUGUUUUGACGUUACCAACAGAAUAAGCACCGGCUAACUUCGUG
RNAcentral lists this ribosomal RNA (484 nucleotides) under uncultured bacterium. RNAcentral describes it as "partial 16S ribosomal RNA". It matches the Rfam family "Bacterial small subunit ribosomal RNA", at positions 30 to 507 of the family's 1533-position model. The record is from RNAcentral.